This is a non-coding RNA of Malus domestica (apple), 1008 nucleotides long. The record is from RefSeq and is a predicted model, not a curated record. NCBI's taxonomy places the organism in Eukaryota, Viridiplantae, Streptophyta, Magnoliopsida, Rosales, Rosaceae.
GCCCAAUCACAACUAUGAUAUUUAGGAAAAAGUUACUGUAGAGGCUUAUCUGGGCUUCCACCAACAGCUUGAUACUCCGCCCGAAUUUCUGCUUCAUAUUAUCUGACAGCUCUCUCUGCAAUUCACAGUCACAGAGAAAGCCAUACGAAUAAAGACCAUGAAAAUUUUGUACGGAAAAAGUUUCCCCCCAGAUUUGUCAUCAUUCCUCACAGAUGCAAGGGAUUUGUUAAUUAUUGAUCAAAAGAUUAUUGAUUAAGAGGUGUGGGAGUUCCGCGUUUACAACCUUGCCAGACGAGUAUUUGGCUGCCACAAACUUUUCUGGUAUAGGCUGCAAAGGACCAUCAUCGAUCACAAUACCCUGAUCAUCAUAUUUAAUAAUCAGUCUCAAGGUUAAUAGGCAAAACAACACCGGAGGACCUUUGCACGAAAAUCGAAGCAGGAAUAAGUUUUCAUACAGUAAGCAUUAACAUGCAUUAUUCACAGGGGAUUGCUAAUCCAUAACAGAAUCAACAUAUGAAACUUUGAAAGUUAGCAAACCUCUGGAGGGUCAAGUUUGGCCCCCAGGUUGCUGAGUUUAGCAUGAGCUUCAGCAUAAUCCUUGAAGAAGGCUUCUUGGUCUUCAGUAUAUUUCUCAGCAUAUACCUGCAAAAUUUCCAUGUAACACAGGAUACGCAUAGAACAUCAUCACUCUCAAUUAUGUUUUGUUUUACCUUGAAUGCUGGAUCUUCAAAAAUAGCUGCAUCAGUUGGCAACACCGGUAGAUCUUCAUCCCUCUUUUCCUUGAUAUCCUGUAGAGAAAACCCGUCGUGAGUAAAGGAAAACCUUGUACCAACUCCCACCAGCCUCCUAUUGGAGUGUGAGAAUUCACACCCAAAUAAGGGGAUACUAUUUGAAUACCUUGAAGUAGGAAUUAUCAAACUUCAACCAUUGUGCUGUCCAAGAUUGUCCUCCUGGUGCCCCUGGCCCGUCUUUCUGCCAUGAACAUAAUGCUAGUUAACUUUCUAGCUA